Long non-coding RNA from Megalobrama amblycephala (Wuchang bream), 1073 nucleotides. RefSeq lists it as uncharacterized. NCBI's taxonomy places the organism in Eukaryota, Metazoa, Chordata, Actinopteri, Cypriniformes, Xenocyprididae. The record is from RefSeq and is a predicted model, not a curated record. The transcript is spliced from 4 exons.
UUUUUUUUUUGUUGUUGUUGCUAAAUUUAAUGUUUUACUAAACUUGUUAAUUAGGCACACGUUAUUUGCUCGUUAUUAAAGUUCAGGCAUAUGCUGGUUUGGCAUUAAUGGCAUUUCGUACGCUCAAUUUUUCUACUAUUAUUAUUAUCAUUAUUAAUAUAGCCUUACUAUAAUAUAAUUUUUAUUCACUUUCUGCUGAAUGACAAGCUGUUUUCGAUUAUCCAGUUGAGCCAGUGAUUCAGUAAGUUGCUUGUAACAGAAGAUGCUUAUUUGUCACGACUUACAGGUUUACAUGUGUCAUUCAUUACUGUAAAAAAAUAUACUUUUUAUUUUCAGUAGCAGAAGCAGAGACGGUUUGUGCAACAGCAACCAGGUGCGGGUCAAAACCCAUCUGUCAAGACGCUUGUCCACUUGCUGUCCGCCCCACCAGCCCAACGAUUGUGCUGGAGAACCACAAGUCACAGAAAAAGAGAAUGUCAUAAUCAACUGGAACAGCAUGAGGAUAAGUAUCCCUUUGUUAAGUUAGCUUAACUGAGUGACUUUGUGAUAUUCCACUAUCCCUUCAUUUGUAAAAGUGAAAAUGCAAUGCAGAAGUGUAAAGAAAGGCUAAUUCGACCUCUCCUCAAUCAUCAGUUUCUUUACUGUACUGUCUAAAAAUAGUCCCAUUAAAUAUCUUUAAAAUCCAGUAUACCUGUAAUUGUUUUAGUUCCAAUGUAAACAAAAAUAUCAGGAAAUCCAAAACUAGUUAGAGGACAAAGUGCAUGCUCUCUGUACCUGUACUGAUGUUCAGUUAUUGUGUUUUGUCUUUUGUAUGAGUACAGUGGUAGAGACAGAGAAGAAGUGCCCUUGAUGAGGAAACCAUGGCAGCCAUAUAUACGUCAAGAAGAGAUUUCCAAAUGUGUCCAAAGAGGCUUUGAGGAUUUGACGUGGGGAAACUGAGACUUCUUGAAAGCAAAAAAGUUAUAUUUGUUUGAAUAUUGUAAUUUUUUGAACAUUGUAAAGUAUGUUCCUUGCUGAUUAUUAUUCAAAUGUUCAUGUGUUAUAGACAACAAAUAAAAGUUUUUCAAAUGUGA